UACACACCGCCCGUCACACCAUGGGAGUUGGGUUUACCUUAAGCCGGUGCGCUGACCGCAAGGAGGCAGCCGACCACGGUAGGUCUGAUGACUGGGGUG
Molecule: ribosomal RNA, 99 nt
Filed under: uncultured bacterium
Lineage: Bacteria
Description: partial 16S ribosomal RNA
Rfam family: Bacterial small subunit ribosomal RNA
Source: RNAcentral